This 279-nucleotide ribosomal RNA is filed under the name uncultured bacterium. RNAcentral's name for it is "partial 16S ribosomal RNA". It matches the Rfam family "Bacterial small subunit ribosomal RNA", at positions 506 to 784 of the family's 1533-position model. The record is from RNAcentral.
UGCCAGCCGCCGCGGUAAUACGGAGGGUGCAAGCGUUAUCCGGAUUUAUUGGGUUUAAAGGGUGCGCAGGCGGAAAUGUAAGUCAGUGGUGAAAUACUGCCGCUCAACGGUAGGGCUGCCAUUGAUACUGCAUUUCUUGAGUAUGGUUGAGGUAGGCGGAAUGUGCGGUGUAGCGGUGAAAUGCAUAGAUAUCGCCCAGAACGCCGAUUGCGAAGGCAGCUUACUAAACCAUUACUGACGCUGAGGCACGAAAGCGUGGGUAGCGAACAGGAUUAGAUA